This 253-nucleotide ribosomal RNA is filed under the name uncultured bacterium. RNAcentral describes it as "partial 16S ribosomal RNA". It matches the Rfam family "Bacterial small subunit ribosomal RNA", at positions 524 to 776 of the family's 1533-position model. The record is from RNAcentral.
GACGAACCGUCCAAACGUUAUUCGGAAUCACUGGGCUUAAAGGGUGCGUAGGCGGCGCGGAAAGUUGGGUGUGAAAUCCCUCGGCUUAACCGAGGAACUGCGCCCAAAACUACCGUGCUCGAGGGAGAUAGAGGUGAGCGGAACUUAGGGUGGAGCGGUGAAAUGCGUUGAUAUCCUAAGGAACACCGGUGGCGAAAGCGGCUCACUGGAUCUCUUCUGACGCUGAGGCACGAAAGCUAGGGUAGCGAACGGG